CUCAGUCGUGCUUUGGGGGUGAACAACCGCAAGUUAUUAGUCUAUGAGAAGGAGUUCUUGGCAGUCCUACUCGUUGUCGAUCAUUGGCGUCAGUACUUAGAGCGAGGACCCUUCGAAAUUCUGACAGACCAUAAGAGUUUGUGCAAUUUGUGGGAGCAGCACCUCGGAUCUGAGCUGCAACGCAAAGCAAUGGCGAAGUUGGGCGGCUUGCAAUUCAAAUUCAAGUACCGUAGAGGAGCUGACAAUGUGGCAGCAGAUUCUCUGUCUCGGAUUGGUCAUUUGCUGACCAUCCAGGCCACAUCUACUUGUCAACCUUCGUGGAUCCAGGAGGUCCGAAACUCCUAUGUCACUGACGCCAAGGCAACCCAAUUACUGCAAGCUCUGGCUGUGCACAGUCCCGAUGAACAAGGCCAUGAACUGGACCGGGGCUUGAUUAAAUACAAAGGUCGCCUUUGGAUUGGGGACAACGCUGCUAUGCAGACCAAGCUGAUUACGGAGAUGCACACCGCGGCAGUCAGUGGCCACUCCGGCAUCCGCCCAACGUAUAUGGGCCUGAAGAAUCUCUUCUACUAG
Molecule: ribosomal RNA, 573 nt
Filed under: Triticum aestivum (bread wheat)
Lineage: Eukaryota; Viridiplantae; Streptophyta; Magnoliopsida; Poales; Poaceae
Description: partial small subunit ribosomal RNA
Source: RNAcentral